This 497-nucleotide ribosomal RNA is filed under the name uncultured bacterium. Its description in RNAcentral is "bacterial SSU rRNA". It matches the Rfam family "Bacterial small subunit ribosomal RNA", at positions 40 to 507 of the family's 1533-position model. The record is from RNAcentral.
CGGCGUGCUUAACACAUGCAAGUCGAACGAAGACGAUUGAAAGCUUGACUUUGAAAGUCGAGUGGCAAACGGGUGAGUAACGCGUAGACAACCUGCCGUAAAGAUGGGGACAACAGUUCGAAAGGACUGCUGAUACCGAAUGUUGUAGAGUUUCCGCAUGGGAAUCCUACUAAAGAUGGCCUCUACUUGUAAGCUAUCGCUUUACGAUGGGUCUGCGUCUGAUUAGCUAGUUGGUGGGGCAACGGCCUACCAAGGCGACGAUCAGUAGCCGGUCUGAGAGGAUGAACGGCCACAUUGGAACUGAGACACGGUCCAGACUCCUACGGGAGGCAGCAGUGGGGAAUCUUCCGCAAUGGGCGAAAGCCUGACGGAGCAACGCCGCGUGAGUGAAGAAGGUCUUCGGAUCGUAAAGCUCUGUUGUCGGGGACGAACGUUGAGAUCUAGAAUAUAGAUUUCAAAUGACGGUACCUGACGAGGAAGCCACGGCUAACUACGUG